RNAcentral lists this ribosomal RNA (909 nucleotides) under Aspergillus fumigatus. Its description in RNAcentral is "LSU rRNA". It matches the Rfam family "Eukaryotic large subunit ribosomal RNA", at positions 38 to 964 of the family's 3401-position model. The record is from RNAcentral. Lineage: Eukaryota; Fungi; Ascomycota; Eurotiomycetes; Eurotiales; Aspergillaceae.
GCAUAUCAAUAAGCGGAGGAAAAGAAACCAACAGGGAUUGCCUCAGUAACGGCGAGUGAAGCGGCAAGAGCUCAAAUUUGAAAGCUGGCCCCUUCGGGGUCCGCGUUGUAAUUUGCAGAGGAUGCUUCGGGUGCAGCCCCCGUCUAAGUGCCCUGGAACGGGCCGUCAUAGAGGGUGAGAAUCCCGUCUGGGACGGGGUGUCUGCGUCCGUGUGAAGCUCCUUCGACGAGUCGAGUUGUUUGGGAAUGCAGCUCUAAAUGGGUGGUAAAUUUCAUCUAAAGCUAAAUACUGGCCGGAGACCGAUAGCGCACAAGUAGAGUGAUCGAAAGAUGAAAAGCACUUUGAAAAGAGAGUUAAACAGCACGUGAAAUUGUUGAAAGGGAAGCGUUUGCGACCAGACUCGCCCGCGGGGUUCAGCCGGCAUUCGUGCCGGUGUACUUCCCCGUGGGCGGGCCAGCGUCGGUUUGGGCGGCCGGUCAAAGGCCCUCGGAAUGUAUCACCUCUCGGGGUGUCUUAUAGCCGAGGGUGCAAUGCGGCCUGCCUGGACCGAGGAACGCGCUUCGGCUCGGACGCUGGCGUAAUGGUCGUAAAUGACCCGUCUUGAAACACGGACCAAGGAGUCUAACAUCUACGCGAGUGUUCGGGUGUCAAACCCGUACGCGCAGUGAAAGCGAACGGAGGUGGGAGCCCCCUCGCGGGGCGCACCAUCGACCGAUCCUGAUGUCUUCGGAUGGAUUUGAGUACGAGCGUAGCUGUGGGGACCCGAAAGAUGGUGAACUAUGCCUGAAUAGGGCGAAGCCAGAGGAAACUCUGGUGGAGGCUCGCAGCGGUUCUGACGUGCAAAUCGAUCGUCAAAUUUGGGUAUAGGGGCGAAAGACUAAUCGAACCAUCUAGUAGCUAGUUCUGCGA